UACGUAGGGGGCUAGCGUUGUUCGGAAUUACUGGGCGUAAAGCGCACGUAGGCGGAUAUUUAAGUCAGGGGUGAAAUCCCGCAGCUCAACUGCGGAACUGCCUUUGAUACUGGGUAUCUCGAGUAUGGAAGAGGUGAGUGGAAUUGCGAGUGUAGAGGUGAAAUUCGUAGAUAUUCGCAGGAACACCAGUGGCGAAGGCGGCUAACUGGUCCAUUACUGACGCUAAGGUGCGAAAGCGUAGGGAGCAAACAGG
RNAcentral lists this ribosomal RNA (253 nucleotides) under uncultured bacterium. Its description in RNAcentral is "partial 16S ribosomal RNA". It matches the Rfam family "Bacterial small subunit ribosomal RNA", at positions 524 to 776 of the family's 1533-position model. The record is from RNAcentral.